RNAcentral lists this long non-coding RNA (570 nucleotides) under Homo sapiens (human). Its description in RNAcentral is "long intergenic non-protein coding RNA 1584". The record is from RNAcentral. Lineage: Eukaryota; Metazoa; Chordata; Mammalia; Primates; Hominidae.
GAAGACCUGAGGUAUCAGGGGUAGGGGUUGCUCUGCUUGUGUAAGUCCCAUAGUGUGAAGGCCAGAGAACCAAGAGAUGGUCAAGAAGAGAGAGAGCAUCACGACCUGUGCAGACUCCCCAGCAUCAUAACAGGAAGGUCCCACGAUCACGAGCACAUUGCCUUCAGCAUCCAGCACUGAAUAUGGUGAAUUGCACUCUGAAGAGCUUCCUAAGCUUGUAAGAAAGUGAUUCUGAAAAGCUCAACAUUUUGGUAGAAUGGAGAGAUUUGACAUUGCUUCUGCUCCAAAAGCAAAAGACUUGGCUUAGGUGACUGCAGCAAGAGAUGUCCAGAGUCUCAACAUUGGGUGAUUGAAGAGCAGAAAGACUGGCAUGAAAUAUCUGUCAACAUAGCUCAACAAGGAAUCAGGAAGAGAGAGUCUUCAAGAUGGCUGACUAGAGGCAUCUGGUACUUGCCUCCUCCACAAAGAAGAACCAAAAUAGCAAGUAUAUUAUUACACUUCGAAUAGAUCAUCUAAGAAAGAACACUGGAAUUCAACCAAGAAGUGGCAAUAAAUACCUAAGGCAAGGAA